CCCUAUGGCCAUGCCUCCCUGAACAAACCCCAUCCCGUAUGAUCUUGGAAGCUAAGCAGGGGUUAGGCCUCGUUAGUACUUGGAUGGGAGACCACCUGGGAAGACGAGGUGCUGUAGGCA
This 120-nucleotide ribosomal RNA is filed under the name Pteropus alecto (black flying fox). The record is from RNAcentral. Lineage: Eukaryota; Metazoa; Chordata; Mammalia; Chiroptera; Pteropodidae.